This is a long non-coding RNA of Pseudopipra pipra, 1526 nucleotides long. RefSeq lists it as uncharacterized. The transcript is spliced from 3 exons. The record is from RefSeq and is a predicted model, not a curated record. NCBI's taxonomy places the organism in Eukaryota, Metazoa, Chordata, Aves, Passeriformes, Pipridae.
UCUUCAGAAGCAAGGAAAGUGGCUGCUGGCAUAACUGCCUGGUGAUCAGGUUGCUUAGCUGGAAGUGGAGAGAGGGAUGGGGAUCUCCUUCAGUUCAGGAAGAGACAGAAAUCGAACCCAGGUCUUCAACUUCCUGAUACCAGUACAGAAAAGCAGAUAUUUUUCCUGGGCAGACUUUAAAAUGGAUGCUUCCUGAAAAAGCUUCCAUAGGAGAUCUGCAAGGCCUUUGCAUUAAACAAAUAUAUCCCAUACGCCAUUUUGAUGGAAAAAAAAGGUCAAAGAAUCAUCUGUGCUGAUGAGCAACUCACCUGAGAGGUCAUUUCUAUGAAGGGUUGUGCUUCCAUGACUGCAGCGAGGCAGGUCUGGAUCUGGCAGAAAGAGAUGGCCCUGGGAAGGAGUUCAGAGGCAGGCUCAGUGCACACGGGGGUGGAGGGCAAAGAACACCCUGCCUGCAACAUCUUCUACCCACUCAGCUCUUUGGGUACAGUUUCAGAGGACUGGCGUCAUAGGGCUUUAGAAAGGGGACAUAUUUCUGUGACAUUUUGCUUGCCUAAGUUCAUGCUCGCCUGAAGACCUUCUAGAUCAUUGGUGUAUGCUUUAUACCCUUAACACACCACUUCCAAAUUAGGCCAAGGCUAUAGUCAUCCUGUACUGAUAGUGUACAUAGUCCUUCAUCCCAAGAGCUGAGUGCUUUAUACAUCCAGAUAACAAAUUUCCAAAACAUUCCUACAGAUAUUUAUUCUAUUAAAGUGCAAAUGACAGUGGAAACUUCCACAGGGUUAUAUAUAUCAAUUCAGGCAAAUGGCAAGAAGAAAAUGAAAAAAUCUCACUCUAUGGUCUGUGCAACACCAGUGGCCAAUGCUUUCACGUUGUUAUAUCAUGGCAUGUGUAUUUAAUAGAGAAAUAGGAAUAAAAUCAGCCAUUAACAAUCACAACACACUUUUGAUAAGAAUUUCUGUUUAUGCAUGUUUGUUACUAGCAUUUAGCUGCUAUAGCAACAGGCACUUUAUAAAUGAGUAAAGUCGAGAAAAGAAACAUUCCCAGUAUUAAUUGAGCUUCAUUGAAGUAAAGAUCAUUUCUGCACUCUAGUGCUGGAUCUUUUCUUCUAGGUGAAACUGUGGAGAGCUUUAAUUCAUGGUUUAUUUAUCUUAGGAUGAUUUGUUUAAAUGAUGAUAUUUUGAACUAGAUUUUAUUAAAUGGCGUCGUAGUUGCUCCUUGCCUUUGGCAUGUAAGAGAAUGUGUGUUCAUGAUGGAUUUGAAUUACUUCAUCAUAAUUCCACAUUUAAAUGUAAGCAAGUGAUGAGCCAGAAUCAUGGCAUAUAUGUGCUCUAAAUUGUCUAUAUUUGGAUCUGCACUUUCAGUGGACAGGAUGAGUAAUAACAAGCAUAAGACGAGGGAGUGGGAGACUUCAGUGUGACCACAGAAAAAAAAUUCUAUUGAUGUGUGUACAGAGCAUUGAACUUGGUUGCCUAGAGCAGUUGUAGCAUUUUCAACACAACAUUUUUGUAAAGAAAAGGUUAAACAAC